RNAcentral lists this ribosomal RNA (371 nucleotides) under uncultured bacterium. RNAcentral's name for it is "bacterial SSU rRNA". It matches the Rfam family "Bacterial small subunit ribosomal RNA", at positions 527 to 896 of the family's 1533-position model. The record is from RNAcentral.
AGAGGGGGCAAGCGUUGUUCGGAAUUACUGGGCGUAAAGGGCGCGUAGGCGGCCUGUUAAGUCGAACGUGAAAUCCCUAGGCUCAACCUAGGAACUGCGUCCGGUACUGGCAGGCUUGAAUCCGGGAGAGGGAUGCGGAAUUCCAGGUGUAGCGGUGAAAUGCGUAGAUAUCUGGAGGAACACCGGUGGCGAAGGCGGCAUCCUGGACCGGCAUUGACGCUGAGGCGCGAAAGCCAGGGGAGCAAACGGGAUUAGAUACCCCGGUAGUCCUGGCCCUAAACGAUGAAUGCUUGGUGUGGCGGGUAUCGAUCCCUGCCGUGCCGAAGCUAACGCAUUAAGCAUUCCGCCUGGGGAGUACGGUCGCAAGGCUG